Long non-coding RNA from Etheostoma spectabile (orangethroat darter), 176 nucleotides. RefSeq lists it as uncharacterized. The record is from RefSeq and is a predicted model, not a curated record. The transcript has 3 exons. NCBI's taxonomy places the organism in Eukaryota, Metazoa, Chordata, Actinopteri, Perciformes, Percidae.
AAUUUUACGUAAAAGUCCUGCACUGAAAAUGUCACCUAAAAGUCUGUAUUAUUUUUAGGAAAAUGUACUUUACAUCCUUACUUACUUACUCAUUGCUGCACAACUUUGUCCGAGUGGCAGUUGGUUGCUAAUACUAAAUGCUAAAAUAUUGAAUAUGAGUAUCACAAUCAGUGAAG